Molecule: long non-coding RNA, 363 nt
Organism: Neomonachus schauinslandi (Hawaiian monk seal)
Lineage: Eukaryota; Metazoa; Chordata; Mammalia; Carnivora; Phocidae
Exons: 3
Source: RefSeq, a predicted model, not a curated record
CCUCGAGAGACCGCGGGGCUGGGCGCUGCUCUACCAAGCUACUCUUGGAGCUACCUAAGAGGCAGAACUGGGAUCCCGCAGGGGUGUUCCACCUAUGUCCUAGUGCUGUCUUCACCAUGUCACUGUUGUCCCCAAUGGCAGACGAUGCAGAAAAAGACCAUGAUACCCCAUUAGCUUCUUUCAAAGAACAAGAUGCUGGGGUGCUUCCCGUGGGAGGUGUGAUACAUGGUCUGAACAAAGCAGUUCUGGGAUUCAUUCUUCACCCCUCUAGGAGCAAGAUGGAGUUGCAGCCAUGGAUGAUGCCCGUGAGGGCCCCUGGAUAAGAUCCUUUUGCCCUCGAACCCGAGCACCAAGACACCCUGC